Molecule: long non-coding RNA, 1277 nt
Organism: Cornus florida
Lineage: Eukaryota; Viridiplantae; Streptophyta; Magnoliopsida; Cornales; Cornaceae
Exons: 2
Source: RefSeq, a predicted model, not a curated record
ACAGUCGGAAAUGGACCACUGCAUUAAAUUAUUACGGAAUCACCUAAGAAAUAAAUGAGCUGGUUGGUGCCGUCCGAAUUCGGCUCGGCUCAUCUCUGCUGGUCCUUGUAAUUAUGCUUCCAAUAUUUUCCUCUCUAUAUAAACCAAGACAAACCUGUUCAUAUCCAAUUCAAUAUUGGAACCUCCUCACUAGUGCCAAUGUUCUCCUAUUGAUCAUCUUUCUUUCUGCUACUUCUUUUCAAUUCAAUCUCGGGUUAGGGUCUUCAAUUAGAGAGUUUAAUUCUGUGGCUUCAAUGGAACAUGUGGUGUCGGACUUGGGGUUCGGGGAAUUAGGGUUUCGGUAAUUGCAGUUUUCGGUUUUGAUGUUUUUGGACUGACGACGAUAAUGGCGGCGAAUCCACAGCCACUUCAGGCUGGUCUGUACGAGGAGCGCGUGGCGAUACAGAUCAUCGACGGCGACGGCGGUGGUGAUGAGUUCGGUAAACGCUUCGGACUACGGAGGAGGUGUUGAGGUGGCGUCUGGGACCAGUGAGCUCACUCUUGCUUUCGAAGGAGAGGUUUAUGUGUUCCCUGCUGUUACGCCCGAGAAGGAUGCACCAUAAGAAUGGUCAGUUUGCAUCAUUGAAAGGAGGUUCGGGGUCUUCUGGUUCGGAUUAUUAUGCAAAGAGUUGCCUUCAAGGAGAUGGCACACCUUGUCAAGAAAUUGUGUGAGUUCCAUCUUGAUUUUGAGGUUGCUGCUUUCUGGUUGGGACUAUGGCCGGCUUCAAAUUAGUGUGGCCGGAGCUUCAAUGACGAUGGAAUGACCAAAGUGCCCAAAAGAUGGAAGGAGGUCGAGAUUUCAAUUCUUCGUUAUGCAACUCCAAGCUCAUUGGAGUUGGAUACUUCAACAAGGGGGUCAUGGCAGCAAAUCCCAUGGGUCUUGACCGUCGUUCUUUUGCCAGGACUGUGACUCUUGGUAAUGGGCUAACCAUCACUGGAUGGACCAUUUUUCCUGCAAGGGCCUUGGUUGAUGAUCUUCCUCUCAUUUUGUUCGCGCGAUUUUUGUUCCCUACGUCGGUCGAUGGACUCUUUGCGGGCGUGCCAGAGUAUUUGUACAAAAUACCCAAAAUAUGUAAUUGAACACCAGCCUAUCCCUUUUUUCGAUGGCUGACUCUCAGGCGAUUGUGUGGGAGAGAGACUAGUAAGAACUCCCAGCAAGGUUCUUUUAUGCCUUGUUUGUAGCAAGGACUUCUUAGAGUGUCUAAAGAAAUGUAACGGCUGAUGAAUGUUUGAAUGGA